UACGUAGGGUGCGAGCGUUAAUCGGAAUUACUGGGCGUAAAGGGCUCGUAGGCGGCCAACUAAGUCCGACGUGAAAUCCCCAAGCUUAACUUGGGAACUGCGUCGGAUACUGGAUGGCUUGAAUUCGGGAGAGGGAUGCAGAAUUCCAGGUGUAGCGGUGAAAUGCGUAGAUAUCUGGAGGAAUACCGGUGGCGAAGGCGGCAUCCUGGACCGACAUUGACGCUGAGGAGCGAAAGCUAGGGGAGCAAACGGG
Molecule: ribosomal RNA, 253 nt
Filed under: uncultured bacterium
Lineage: Bacteria
Description: partial 16S ribosomal RNA
Rfam family: Bacterial small subunit ribosomal RNA
Source: RNAcentral